RNAcentral lists this RNase P RNA (351 nucleotides) under Acinetobacter courvalinii. RNAcentral describes it as "Bacterial RNase P class A". It matches the Rfam family "Bacterial RNase P class A". From Rfam's summary of the family: Ribonuclease P (RNase P) is a ubiquitous endoribonuclease, found in archaea, bacteria and eukarya as well as chloroplasts and mitochondria. Its best characterised activity is the generation of mature 5'-ends of tRNAs by cleaving the 5'-leader elements of precursor-tRNAs. Lineage: Bacteria; Pseudomonadati; Pseudomonadota; Gammaproteobacteria; Moraxellales; Moraxellaceae. The record is from RNAcentral.
AGUGGGCCGGACGGUCGCUGCUGUGGAGGUCUCCGUGACUGAAGCAGGGGAGGAAAGUCCGGGCUUCAAAGGGCAAGGUGCCAGGUAACGCCUGGGCGGCGAAAGCCGACGGCAAGUGCAGCAGAGAGUAGACCGCCUCAUUCGUGAGGUAAGGGUGAAAGGGUGCGGUAAGAGCGCACCGCGUGUCUGGUAACAGUUCACGGCAAGGUAAACCCCACCUGAAGCAAGACCAAAUAGGAAUCCUGAGGCACGGCCCGUGCUGGAUUCGGGUAGGUCGCUUGAGCGUAUGAGUGAUUGUACGCCUAGAGGAAUGAUCGUCCUCGACAGAACCCGGCUUAUAGGCCCACUUCU